AGAGUUUGAUCCUGGCUCAGAAUCAACGCUGGCGGCGCGCUUAACACAUGCAAGUCGAACGAGAAAGUGGAGCAAUCCAUGAGUACAGUGGCGCACUGGUGAGUAACACGUGGGUAAUUUACCUCUUUGUGGGGAAUAACCCUGGGAAACCGGGGAUAAUACCGCAUACGUCCGAGAGGAGAAAGCCGAAAGGCGCAGAGAGAGAAGCCCGCGCCCGAUUAGCUAGUUGGUGAGGUAAAAGCCCACCAAGGCGACGAUCGGUAGCCGGCCUGAGAGGGCACACGGCCACACUGGCACUGAAACACGGGCCAGACUCCUACGGGAGGCAGCAGUGGGGAAUCUUGCACAAUGGGGGAAACCCUGAUGCAGCGACGCCGCGUGAACGAUGAAGCCCUUCGGGGUGUAAAGUUCUUUCGACAGGAACGAUAAUGACGGUACCGAAGAAGAG
This 448-nucleotide ribosomal RNA is filed under the name uncultured Acidobacteriaceae bacterium. RNAcentral's name for it is "bacterial SSU rRNA". It matches the Rfam family "Bacterial small subunit ribosomal RNA", at positions 8 to 492 of the family's 1533-position model. The record is from RNAcentral. Lineage: Bacteria; Pseudomonadati; Acidobacteriota; Terriglobia; Terriglobales; Acidobacteriaceae.